Molecule: ribosomal RNA, 492 nt
Filed under: uncultured bacterium
Lineage: Bacteria
Description: partial 16S ribosomal RNA
Rfam family: Bacterial small subunit ribosomal RNA
Source: RNAcentral
AGUGAACGCUGGCGGUAGGCCUAACACAUGCAAGUCGAACGGCAGCACAGUAAGCGCUUGCUCUUACGGGUGGCGAGUGGCGGACGGGUGAGGCAUACAUCGGAAUCUACUUUUUCGUGGGGGAUUACGUAGGGACACUUACGCUAAUACCGCAUACGACCUACGGGUUAAAGCAGGGGUGAUUCGGACCUUUCGCGUUUGAUUGAGCCGAUGUCGGAUUAGCUAGUUGGCGGGGUAAAGGCCCACCAAGGCAACGAUACGUAGCUGGCCUGAGAGGAUGAUCAGCCACACUGGAACUGAGACACGGUCCAGACUCCUACGGGAGGCAGCAGUGGGGAAUAUUGGACAAUGGGCGCAAGCCUGAUCCAGCCAUACCGCGUGGGUGAUGAAGGCCUUCGGGUUGUAAAGCCCUUUUGUUGGGAAAGAAAAGCAGCAGGAGAAUACCCCGAUGUUCUGACGGUACCCAAAGAAUAAGCACCGGCUAACUUCGUG